Molecule: small nucleolar RNA, 142 nt
Organism: Megalops cyprinoides (Indo-Pacific tarpon)
Lineage: Eukaryota; Metazoa; Chordata; Actinopteri; Elopiformes; Megalopidae
Product: small nucleolar RNA SNORA47
Exons: 1
Source: RefSeq, a predicted model, not a curated record
UGGAGGAUUGAGAAGGUUUAGCAGCUUGAAAACAAGUGCUGCUACAACUGGUUAUAACCUCCUAAAGUAAAAAAAGCAGCAGAUGCAUCAUCCCGGCUCUGUGAAAACACACCGGAGCCUGCGCUGCAUCUGCGGACACGCU